AGUUAACGCUGGCAUCGUGCAUAACACAUGCAAGUCGAAGGGAGUGGCAGACGGGUGAGUAAUGUAUAAGAACCAACCUUUAAGUGGGGAAUAACAAUCCGAAAGGGUUGCUAAUACCCCAUACUUGAAGACGGACUUAUAUUCUAUCAGCUAGUUGGCAGUGUAACGGACUACCAAGGCGACGACGGAUAGCCGGCCUGAAAGGGCGACCGGCCACAAGGGCACUGAGACACGGGCCCUACUCCUACGGGAGGCAGCAGUGGGGAAUUUUGGACAAUGGGCGAAAGCCUGAUCCAGCAACGAUGCGUGGAGGAUGAAGGUUCUCGGAUUGUAAACUCCUUUUGAGAGGCGGUACCUCUCGAAUAAGCCACGGCUAACUACGUGCCAGCAGCCGCGGUAAGACGUAGGUGGCAAGCGUUACUCGGAAUUACUAGGCGUAAAGCGCGCGUAGGCGGAAUGUUAAGUCUGUUGUGUAAUCUCUGGGCUCAACCCAGAAACUGCAACAGAAACUGGCGUUCUUGAGUGAGGCAGAGGAAAUCGGAAUUCCUAGUGUAGCAGUGAAAUGCGUAGAUAUUAGGAGGAACACCGGUGGCGAAGGCGGAUUUCUGGGCCUUUACUGACGCUAAAGUGCGAAAGCUGGGGAGCAAACGGGAUUAGAUACCCCGGUAGUCCUAGCCGUAAACGAUGAUAACUAGGUGUGGGACCGUGCCGCCGCUAACGCAUUAAGUUAUCCGCCUGGGGAGUACGGCCGCAAGGUUACAACUCAAAUGAAU
This 773-nucleotide ribosomal RNA is filed under the name uncultured bacterium. RNAcentral describes it as "bacterial SSU rRNA". It matches the Rfam family "Bacterial small subunit ribosomal RNA", at positions 28 to 910 of the family's 1533-position model. The record is from RNAcentral.